AAUGAUGAAUGUCAUAGAUUAGACAUAUAAUAGUUUAUUCUAUAAAUGAAAGUGUAAGCAUUCCACCUCAAGAGUAAUUUGGCAACAUUGGAACUGAAAUCAUUAGACCGUUUCUGAAACCAGUAGUGAAGUAUGUUGUUUAAUUUGAUAAUCCGCAAAAAACCUUACCACAAUUUGAAUAUUUAUAUCAUUUUUCUGAUCUAUUCAAUGAAAAGAAAAAAAUGUAUUUACAAGCGUUGCACGGCUGUCUUCAGUUAAUGUCGUGAGACUUUGGUUAGUUCCAUUAAAUUAACGUAAACCCUCACUUUAUUUUUAUAUAAAGUAGUUCCCCACUAAAUUGGAUAAGAUAACAGGGACUAAGACAAGUCAUCAUGGCCUGAAUAUUGUGGGCUAUA
RNAcentral lists this ribosomal RNA (395 nucleotides) under Lecanora chlarotera. RNAcentral's name for it is "SSU rRNA". It matches the Rfam family "Bacterial small subunit ribosomal RNA", at positions 805 to 1218 of the family's 1533-position model. The record is from RNAcentral. Lineage: Eukaryota; Fungi; Ascomycota; Lecanoromycetes; Lecanorales; Lecanoraceae.